Long non-coding RNA from Pogona vitticeps (central bearded dragon), 553 nucleotides. RefSeq lists it as uncharacterized. Lineage: Eukaryota; Metazoa; Chordata; Lepidosauria; Squamata; Agamidae. The record is from RefSeq and is a predicted model, not a curated record.
GUGUGUGUGGGGGGGAGGUUAAAUGUCCUGGUUUGCAAAAGGCUACACUGCCGGUCCGCGAAGGCUGACCGGCAGCUCAGCCCUCGGACUGGCCUUUUGUUGGGUGCAGCGGGGAUAGCACAGUGGCCGCGACGCUUCAAUUUCAGUCAAAAAGGCACCAGGCACGUGGGUGUGAAAAGAGGCGCCACUGCCUGGUUAUUUGCCUGCCUUUUGUAACUGUGGACUGCGGUAGGAGUGGGUCCCAAUCCGUGCUGGGAUGGGAACUCUCGACGCACAGGUGCUCGGGACCAAGAAGAAGACCCACUGACUGAUCAGUAGUAGUGACUGGGAUGCUCUUGCCUACUUCUCUGAAACAUCACUUGACGCAUCCCAGUGCCACAGAGACCCAUCCUCAGAACAAGUGAACAGAUGAUCCGGAUUGGAAGGAUGAAAAUGCACUUCCCACACUGAACAAAAACACGAGACAGCUGACCAAUGGAAUUGACCGUCAGGAUUUCUGUUGUACGGAGUCGAGUCACUGCAUGGAGUGUGCUGCUGUCAGCAUUGUCUACAG